This 586-nucleotide ribosomal RNA is filed under the name uncultured bacterium. RNAcentral's name for it is "partial 16S ribosomal RNA". It matches the Rfam family "Bacterial small subunit ribosomal RNA", at positions 355 to 1375 of the family's 1533-position model. The record is from RNAcentral.
UGGGGAAUUUUGGACAAUGGGCGAAAGCCUGAUCCAGCAAUGCCGCGUGUGUGAAGAAGGCCUUCGGGUUGUAAAGCACUUUUGUCCGGAAAGAAAUCCUCUGGGUUAAUACCUCGGGGGGAUGACGGUACCGGAAGAAUAAGCACCGGCUAACUACGUGCCAGCAGCCGCGGUAAUACGUAGGGUGCAAGCGUUAAUCGGAAUUACUGGGCGUAAAGCGUGCGCAGGCGGUUUUGUAAGACGGAUGUGAAAUCCCCGGGCUUAACCUGGGAACUGCAUUCGUGACUGCAAGGCUAGAGUAUGGCAGAGGGGGGUUAGAAUUCCACGUGUAGCAGUGAAAUGCGUAGAGAUGUGGAGGAAUACCGAUGGCGAAGGCAGCCCCCUGGGCCAAUACUGACGCUCAUGCACGAAAGCGUGGGGAGCAAACAGGAUUAGAUACCCUGGUAGUCCGCGCCCUAAACGAUGUCAACUAGUUGUUGGGGAUUCAUUUCCUUAGUAACGUAGCUAACGCGUGAAGUUGACCGCCUGGGGAGUACGGUCGCAAGAUUAAAACUCAAAUGAAUUGACGGGGUCAUAGCUGUUUCCU